This 861-nucleotide ribosomal RNA is filed under the name Triticum aestivum (bread wheat). Its description in RNAcentral is "partial small subunit ribosomal RNA". The record is from RNAcentral. Lineage: Eukaryota; Viridiplantae; Streptophyta; Magnoliopsida; Poales; Poaceae.
AUGCAGCGUAGGAACAUGGAACCUGAUGGUAUAUGUACGACAUGUGGGCUAGAGGAAGAGACGACGCACCAUGCACUCCUACAAUGUCCUCAUGCUAGGCACCUAUGGGAUGCAAUGAGAUCUGUGUGGGAUCUCCCACCGGAUGAAGCACUAUGGAACUCCGAACCUGAUUGGUUGUUCAUGCUAAUACAACAGCCCAAUGACACACAUCGCAUGCUCCUUCUCAUGGUACUCUGGCGGGUGUGGCAUGUGCACAAUGAGCUAAUAGAUGAAAAUCCAUUAAUUACUAUUGAAGCUUCCAAGAAAUUCUUGUGUGGGUAUGAAGACCACCUACUAAUGAUCACACACUAUCCACACGCUGAUUUCACUAAACGCAAGGUUCCCGCUAACCUCAGUGCAAAUACCACAAUAGUAGUUCAUACUGUGACCCACACAAAACCUGAAGUUAAAUGGGAACCCCCACCAGGAGGACAUGUGAAGCUUAAUUUUGGUGGCUCAUUUGUGGCGGAAAAUGGUGUUGCGGGUGCUGGAAUGAUUCGACGGGACCAUGAAGGGCAGGUUAUCUUUGUCGCGUGCAGAUGGAUGUUUGAUUACGAGGGACCCCUAGAACCAGAACUAGCAGCUUGUGAGGAAGGCCUCUGUCUAGCUCUACAUUGGUCUCAAGCCCCACUUUAGGUUGAGACGGACUUUGCCGAGAUCAUCACCCUUGUAAAAGCUGGGCGGCAUGAUCGAUCCGGAAAUAUGCAUCAAGUUGCAGAGAUAGUGCAUCUGCUCAACGAACGCCACACUAAAAUUCGGCGCCCCGUUGGAGUCUCCUACACCUGCUUCUCCGACUCGGCUGCUCCUGGGGGCCACCGAUGA